Molecule: RNase P RNA, 426 nt
Filed under: Planctomycetales bacterium
Lineage: Bacteria; Pseudomonadati; Planctomycetota; Planctomycetia; Planctomycetales
Description: RNase P RNA component class A
Rfam family: Bacterial RNase P class A
About the family: Ribonuclease P (RNase P) is a ubiquitous endoribonuclease, found in archaea, bacteria and eukarya as well as chloroplasts and mitochondria. Its best characterised activity is the generation of mature 5'-ends of tRNAs by cleaving the 5'-leader elements of precursor-tRNAs.
Source: RNAcentral
UCAGAGGGUGGGGCGAUCGCUCGUCGACCAGCGUGUCGAUCGGGAGGAAAGUCCGGGCUCCACAGGACAGGAUGGUCGAUAACGUCGACCGGCCGCGAGGCUAGGGAAAGUGCAACAGAGAGUAGACCGCCGAACGGUCUGUCGGGGAUCGUCCCGGACCGAUGCGUGGCAAGGCUGAAACGGUGCGGUAAGAGCGCACCAGCGGCCGAGGUGACUCGGUCGGCUUGGUAAACCCCAUCCGGAGCUAGACCAAACAGGGUGCAGAAGCGGUCCGCUUCAUUACGACACUCGGGUAGGUCGCGAUAGAGGCGACGAGCAAUCGUCGUGCACAGAUAAAUGAUCGCCGUCAUCGAUGGCCUUUGUCGGAGCCCGCUCCGGCAAAGACCACGGUCGUCACAGAACCCGGCUUACAAGCCCUCUGGUCGU